This 459-nucleotide ribosomal RNA is filed under the name uncultured bacterium. RNAcentral's name for it is "partial 16S ribosomal RNA". It matches the Rfam family "Bacterial small subunit ribosomal RNA", at positions 338 to 795 of the family's 1533-position model. The record is from RNAcentral.
CCUACGGGUGACAGCAGUGAGGAAUAUUGGUCAAUGGUCGGGAGACUGAACCAGCCAAGCCGCGUGAGGGAUGAAGGUACAGAGUAUCGUAAACCUCUUUUGUCAGGGAACAAAGGCGGGGACGUGUCCCCGGCUGAGUGUACCUGAAGAAAAAGCAUCGGCUAACUCCGUGCCAGCAGCCGCGGUAAUACGGAGGAUGCGAGCGUUAUCCGGAUUUAUUGGGUUUAAAGGGUGCGCAGGCGGUCUGUUAAGUCAGCGGUCAAAGCCCGGGGCUCAACCCCGGCCCGCCGUUGAAACUGGCAGUCUCGAGUGGGAGAGAAGUAGGCGGAAUGCGCGGUGUAGCGGUGAAAUGCAUAGAUAUCGCGCAGAACUCCGAUUGCGAAGGCAGCAUGCCGGCUCCACACUGACGCUGAGGCACGAAAGCGUGGGUAUCGAACAGGAUUAGAUACCCGAGUAGUC